UACGUAGGAUGCGAGCGUUGUUCGGAAUUACUGGGCGUAAAGCGCACGUAGGCGGCUUUGUAAGUUAGAGGUGAAAGCCCGGGGCUCAACUCCGGAAUUGCCUUUAAGACUGCAUCGCUAGAAUUGUGGAGAGGUAAGUGGAAUUCCGAGUGUAGAGGUGAAAUUCGUAGAUAUUCGGAAGAACACCAGUGGCGAAGGCGACUUACUGGACACAUAUUGACGCUGAGGUGCGAAAGCGUGGGGAGCAAACAGG
RNAcentral lists this ribosomal RNA (253 nucleotides) under uncultured bacterium. Its description in RNAcentral is "partial 16S ribosomal RNA". It matches the Rfam family "Bacterial small subunit ribosomal RNA", at positions 524 to 776 of the family's 1533-position model. The record is from RNAcentral.